UCUGGAGCCUUGCAGAGGAGUGGGGUUCUCCAGACCUAAAAUGGGCCUGGGGGCCUGGCAGUACCUGCGGGGCUCAGCUGGUGUCCCCCUGACACAUAAAUGCCCGUGGCUGCAGCAGCUCACCAGGACCAGAUGCCCAUGCCCUGCUGAAGGUCUGAUUGCUUUUCUGUGACAGCCAUUCACAGCCCUAUUUUGUCAAAAACUUAGCAACCGGACACAAAAAGAACCAAAAGCCUGAAACACCUUCAGAUCCCGGGACAAGCAGGGAUGGGCGAUGCUGAGGCGGGGUGUGCUUGGGGUGCUGCGGGGCUGGUGCUAGGCACCCAGCUCCCUCUGCACGGACAGAUCCUGGAGCAAGCAUGCAGAAGCCCUUACCCUGCUCUGGGUUCAUCUGCCACCACAUGCUGAGAAAUGUGUACAUGUGACGGGAAGGUCUAAUGUUAAUUUAGUUGGCUCUAAGACGUGGAGCCUCCAGGAAAACUUGUCCUUAUCUGCUCAGAUCCAUCAGGAGUUGGAGCUGCUGGGCAUUGAUACAGGGCAGGAUUGCAGGCAGCUGCUGGGAAAUCAGGGAUGUCCAGGGACCCUGGGGGAGAGCAUCCUUGGGCUGUUCCCAGCCAGGCCCCAGAGCUGCAGCGAGCCCCAGGGAAGCAGAGGGAUGCCAGCCUUGCACAAGGGCUGCUCUCACCAAGAGAUACUCUUUAGCUUUAUUCCCAGCCCCUGGGCGAGAUCCUCUGGCUGCUGGUCGUGGUCACUUCUCACCCAUCUCACUAAUGACUGCAGAACUUUCAAACGAGCACCAAUUAGCUUCUGGCCAGCACUCCUGGGCUGAUCCAUUUGGAGCCCAGCCAGGGCUCAGGCAGGCAUUAACGGAGCUCAGCUCAUUAGUGGAGGCUGGGAAGAGAAGCAGGGCUGGGCUGGGAGGGGUGGCAAGACCCGGGGGAUGCUGUGCUGCUCCCUGGACAGGACGGCACGUCCCUCCCAUCCCAGGGACUCUGGAGGAUGUAAGGGUGCAUCUGUUUCUGCUGGCAGCUGCCUUUGCCCUUUCUGGUGAAAAACAAGCAGGAUCAUGCUUCCCAUCCUCUCUCGCUGUCCCCUGUGUAACAGCCGCCCGUGGGCAGAGUAACCACAGCCAGAAGUUCCCCCUUUACCCCACCACCUACUGUCAGUAAACAAAAGGCUUUGAAAAGGAAGGCAGCAACUUUAAUGAAAAAGUCCCAGACCGGUGACACCAAAACCCUUCCUCCAGAGCAGAGCAGAGCAGACCGCCGCAGAACACCCUGCCCAGGCUCUGGUCCAUUUCGUGUCCCCAGGACACAGCCUCACACCCUGCUCGAUGUGGCUGGUGCCACCCCUUGGUAUGGGGAUGCUCUGGGCCACGUUCUGGGGUGAUAGGAGGUGGUGCCAGUUCUACCUGGGGCAGGAUCAGGCCCCCAGCGUGCCUGAGUUUCCAAUGUCAGUUACUUGGAUGCUUUGAGGCUGUGGUGAGCAGCAUAUCCAUGGACUUGAGCAGGAGCCUUCCUGCCCUGGGAGGGCAGACGGGAUGGUUCAGUGGCUGCAGGGCCACCAGUUGCUGAGAUGCCAGCCCUGACAUCAGGCUCAUGAGCCCCGGGAACUGGGGGCAGAGAAGAGCUGCUGGGUUCUCCCCGACCACGAAUUCCCAUGAUGACAACUUGCACAUGAGCCCCACUGCAACUGCUGUUGGCCCAAGGAGAUAAGUAAUAAGGCUGACAUGGACAGCAAAGGCCUGAUACUACCCGUAAAGCAUUAUUUUGUCCAACCUGCUUUCUAGGCAGUGGUGACGGUGGGCAUCCUCCCCUCAACCCUCCUGUGGAGGCUCGAGUGUCCUGUUCCCUGUGUGCUCUCCCUGGGAGCUCUCUAACUGGGCAAGAAAUUGCUGCUGGAGCUGGGCUGAGUGCAAGCAGCAUGUGUGCAAAUGGCACCUCCAUCACCCACGGGAGUCUGUGGAGGUCUUUCUGAAAUGGUGGGGAACGUCUCUCCUGCAGCACAUCGGUGCAGCUCUGCUCUGAGCCUCUGACAGAUGAGCCCCAAGUGCCAGCGCUGCCCUGUCCACCGGUGUCCAGAGGGAAGGGCUGACGGGAGCACCAAACUUCACCUCGAAGGGGAAGUCACAAUCGAAUAAAGCUUGGUAAUGUCUUAAAUGACUGAAACCA
Long non-coding RNA from Anser brachyrhynchus (Pink-footed goose), 2171 nucleotides. The record is from Ensembl. Lineage: Eukaryota; Metazoa; Chordata; Aves; Anseriformes; Anatidae.